This 1084-nucleotide ribosomal RNA is filed under the name uncultured bacterium. RNAcentral describes it as "bacterial SSU rRNA". It matches the Rfam family "Bacterial small subunit ribosomal RNA", at positions 8 to 1105 of the family's 1533-position model. The record is from RNAcentral.
AGAGUUUGAUUAUGGCUCAGGAUGAACGCUGGUGGCGUGCUUAACACAUGCAAGUCGAACGGAAAGGCCACAGCUUGCUGUGGUACUCGAGUGGCGAACGGGUGAGUAACACGUGGGUGAUCUGCCCUGUACUUCGGGAUAAGCUUGGGAAACUGGGUCUAAUACCGGAUAUGACCACUUUUUGGAUGGGGUGGUGGAAAGCUUUUGCGGUAUGGGAUGAGCUCGCGGCCUAUCAGCUUGUUGGUGGGGUAAUGGCCUACCAAGGCGUCGACGGGUAGCCGGCCUGAGAGGGUGUACGGCCACAUUGGGACUGAGAUACGGCCCAGACUCCUACGGGAGGCAGCAGUGGGGAAUAUUGCACAAUGGGCGCAAGCCUGAUGCAGCGACGCCGCGUGGGGGAUGACGGCCUUCGGGUUGUAAACUCCUUUCGUCAGGGACGAAGCGUAAGUGACGGUACCUGGAUAAGAAGCACCGGCUAACUACGUGCCAGCAGCCGCGGUAAUACGUAGGGUGCGAGCGUUGUCCGGAAUUACUGGGCGUAAAGAGCUCGUAGGUGGUUUGUCGCGUCGUUUGUGUAAGUCCACGGCUUAACUGUGGGAUGGCAGGCGAUACGGGCAUAACUUGAGUGCUGUAGGGGAGACUGGAAUUCCUGGUGUAGCGGUGAAAUGCGCAGAUAUCAGGAGGAACACCGAUGGCGAAGGCAGGUCUCUGGGCAGUAACUGACGCUGAGGAGCGAAAGCAUGGGUAGCGAACAGGAUUAGAUACCCUGGUAGUCCAUGCCGUAAACGGUGGGCGCUAGGUGUGAGUCCCUUCCACGGGGUUCGUGCCGUAGCUAACGCAUUAAGCGCCCCGCCUGGGGAGUACGGCCGCAAGGCUAAAACUCAAAGGAAUUGACGGGGGCCCGCACAAGCGGCGGAGCAUGUGGAUUAAUUCGAUGCAACGCGAAGAACCUUACCUGGGCUUGACAUACACCAGAUCGGCGCAGAGAUGCGUUUUCCCUUGUGGUUGGUGUACAGGUGGUGCAUGGUUGUCGUCAGCUCGUGUCGUGAGAUGUUGGGUUAAGUCCCGCAACGAGCGCAACCCU